GUCUCAGUGACGUAGUGGUUAGCGCAUGAGCCCCGGUCAGGCGCGAGAUGCGGGUUCGAAUCCCGUCUGAGGUG
RNAcentral lists this transfer RNA (74 nucleotides) under Nippostrongylus brasiliensis. It matches the Rfam family "tRNA". Rfam says of the family: Transfer RNA (tRNA) molecules are approximately 80 nucleotides in length. Their secondary structure includes four short double-helical elements and three loops (D, anti-codon, and T loops). The record is from Rfam by way of RNAcentral. Lineage: Eukaryota; Metazoa; Nematoda; Chromadorea; Rhabditida; Heligmosomidae.